UAUCUCUAAACUUUCUUUUCUCUCAAGAACACCACAGUCACAACCACACUCACCUUCAUAUCUCUCUGAAAUUUCUUUAUCUCUCAAGAACACCUGCAUCCCCCACCACCACACCACCACCGUCACCACCACAGUCACAACAACAUCCGUCACCAACCACCACCACAACCACAAACCUCCAGCACAGUCACCACCGUCAGCGUCGCAGCACCGUAUCAGCUCCGAUUUGUAUUCCGAGCACGUCGUAGAGUGAAGAUUGAUUAGUAAUCCGUUGAGAUCUGGUCGAAAUCGACGCUGUUCGUUCAGCUGUGGCGAAAUUGGCAGAAAUUGGUUGUCGAUUGAUGGUGAAAUUGGGGGAAAUGAAUCUGUUUGUGAUUUGCUUUGAAUCUGUUUUUUUAAUGUUUGAUCAGUCUAUGGGAAGUAAACUUUUAAAAGUCAGUGAUAAGUGUAGAAUACAGAUGAUCAGCUGCUGAAACUGGGUCAUGAUUUUAGAUUAGUGGAUUGGUGGUGGCAGUGGGGCGGCACUAGUGGUGGAGGUGAGACGGUGGUGGUGGGUGUUUGGAGGUGGCGAUAGUGCGAUGGUGGUGGCAGUGGUGGGGAUGAUGGUGGGAAUUUAUGUGAUAAUUUAUUCUGAGAUCUCAUUUAUUCUUGGUUACUAAAUCAAAACAAACAAAAAGGUGGAAAUUUAUGUUAAGGUUUAAGGUAUGUCAUGAUCAGAUGAUUUAUAUAACAGAUUAGUCCUCAUGGGGUAACAACGAGAGAUGAGAAGGUCUUCAAGUUUGCCUGUGGAUGGAAACGGUGGUUACAUGAAAUCAAGUGCCAGAAACCAUCAUCUCUUUGGACAUGCUUGUUGAAGGGUGUUGUUCAUCUUGGUCACAGGAAUCUAGUGACGAUACAAGAUGUGUUGAUAAAGAAGGAUUAUAGUUUGAUUUUGUACAAGUAUGUGUAAAACGGUAGCUUAUACGAUGGUUUGUU
This 975-nucleotide long non-coding RNA is filed under the name Helianthus annuus (common sunflower). RNAcentral's name for it is "hypothetical non coding rna". The record is from RNAcentral. Lineage: Eukaryota; Viridiplantae; Streptophyta; Magnoliopsida; Asterales; Asteraceae.